GACGAACGCUGGCGGCGUGCCUAAUACAUGCAAGUCGAACGAACUCUGGUAUUGAUUGGUGCUUGCAUCAUGAUUUACAUUUGAGUGAGUGGCGAACUGGUGAGUAACACGUGGGAAACCUGCCCAGAAGCGGGGGAUAACACCUGGAAACAGAUGCUAAUACCGCAUAACAACUUGGACCGCAUGGUCCGAGCUUGAAAGAUGGCUUCGGCUAUCACUUUUGGAUGGUCCCGCGGCGUAUUAGCUAGAUGGUGGGGUAACGGCUCACCAUGGCAAUGAUACGUAGCCGACCUGAGAGGGUAAUCGGCCACAUUGGGACUGAGACACGGCCCAAACUCCUACGGGGGGCAGCAGUAGGGAAUCUUCCACAAUGGACGAAAGUCUGAUGGAGCAACGCCGCGUGAGUGAAGAAGGGUUUCGGCUCGUAAAACUCUGUUGUUAAAGAAGAACAUAUCUGAGAGUAACUGUUCAGGUAUUGACGGUAUUUAACCAGAAAGCCACGGCUAACUACGUGCCAGCAGCCGCGGUAAUACGUAGGUGGCAAGCGUUGUCCGGAUUUAUUGGGCGUAAAGCGAGCGCAGGCGGUUUUUUAAGUCUGAUGUGAAAGCCUUCGGCUCAACCGAAGAAGUGCAUCGGAAACUGGGAAACUUGAGUGCAGAAGAGGACAGUGGAACUCCAUGUGUAGCGGUGAAAUGCGUAGAUAUAUGGAAGAACACCAGUGGCGAAGGCGGCUGUCUGGUCUGUAACUGACGCUGAGGCUCGAAAGUAUGGGUAGCAAACAGGAUUAGAUACCCUGGUAGUCCAUACCGUAAACGAUGAAUGCUAAGUGUUGGAGGGUUUCCGCCCUUCAGUGCUGCAGCUAACGCAUUAAGCAUUCCGCCUGGGGAGUACGGCCGCAAGGCUGAAACUCAAAGGAAUUGACGGGGGCCCGCACAAGCGGUGGAGCAUGUGGUUUAAUUCGAAGCUACGCGAAGAACCUUACCAGGUCUUGACAUACUAUGCAAAUCUAAGAGAUUAGACGUUCCCUUCGGGGACAUGGAUACAGGUGGUGCAUGGUUGUCGUCAGCUCGUGUCGUGAGAUGUUGGGUUAAGUCCCGCAACGAGCGCAACCCUUAUUAUCAGUUGCCAGCAUUAAGUUGGGCACUCUGGUGAGACUGCCGGUGACAAACCGGAGGAAGGUGGGGAUGACGUCAAAUCGUCAUGCCCCUUAUGACCUGGGCUACACACGUGCUACAAUGGAUGGUACAACGAGUUGCGAACUCGCGAGAGUAAGCUAAUCUCUUAAAGCCAUUCUCAGUUCGGAUUGUAGGCUGCAACUCGCCUACAUGAAGUCGGAAUCGCUAGUAAUCGCGGAUCAGCAUGCCGCGGUGAAUACGUUCCCGGGCCUUGUACACACCGCCCGUCACACCAUGAGAGUUUGUAACACCCAAAGUCGGUGGGGUAACCUUUUAGGAACCAGCCGCCUAAGGUGGGACAGAUGAUUAGGGUG
This 1489-nucleotide ribosomal RNA is filed under the name Lactiplantibacillus plantarum. RNAcentral describes it as "bacterial SSU rRNA". It matches the Rfam family "Bacterial small subunit ribosomal RNA". The record is from RNAcentral. Lineage: Bacteria; Bacillati; Bacillota; Bacilli; Lactobacillales; Lactobacillaceae.